AUUGAACGCUGGCGGCAGGCCUAACACAUGCAAGUCGAACGGUAUCAGGAAACAGCUUGCUGUUUCGCUGACGAGUGGCGGACGGGUGAGUAAUGUCUGGGAAACUGCCUGAUGGAGGGGGAUAACUACUGGAAACGGUAGCUAAUACCGCAUAACGUCGCAAGACCAAAGAGGGGGACCUUCGGGCCUCUUGCCAUCGGAUGUGCCCAGAUGGGAUUAGCUAGUAGGUGGGGUAACGGCUCACCUAGGCGACGAUCCCUAGCUGGUCUGAGAGGAUGACCAGCCACACUGGAACUGAGACACGGUCCAGACUCCUACGGGAGGCAGCAGUGGGGAAUAUUGCACAAUGGGCGCAAGCCUGAUGCAGCCAUGCCGCGUGUAUGAAGAAGGCCUUCGGGUUGUAUAGUACUUUCAGCGGGGAGGAAGGGAGUAAAGUUAAUACCUUUGCUCAUUGACGUUACCCGCAGAAGAAGCACCGGCUAACUCCGUGCCAGCCGCCGCCGUAA
RNAcentral lists this ribosomal RNA (506 nucleotides) under uncultured bacterium. RNAcentral describes it as "partial 16S ribosomal RNA". It matches the Rfam family "Bacterial small subunit ribosomal RNA", at positions 30 to 523 of the family's 1533-position model. The record is from RNAcentral.